This 1155-nucleotide unclassified non-coding RNA is filed under the name Hevea brasiliensis (rubber tree). The record is from RNAcentral. Lineage: Eukaryota; Viridiplantae; Streptophyta; Magnoliopsida; Malpighiales; Euphorbiaceae.
AUUGAUUAUCUGAACUUUCACCGAGUUCUACACGUACAAUACAUAUAUCAGUUUCUAGAGGUGUACAACUAAAAGAGAUGAUUGUAAUUUUAACUUUGCCAAGUUUUAUGAUUUUUAAAUUCAGUAUUAACAAGAGCAGCAAUGUUGAAAAUGUCAUCAGUGUGAGAGAGAGGUUUUAAACCCAAGAAAUCUUUGGUUAAUAUAUGAUCCUCCUCAUUCAUACUUCCAUUGAAGUAGAGUUGUUGAUCUUCGUCCUCGUUCUCCUUUUUUGAAUUCAAAUUGUUGAAUCCACCGAAUAAUAUCGCAUCUUCAAACAUUGUUGACCCAUCAAAGCCAUUAGAAAAAGAUGUCAUGAUGCCACUUAUAUUAUUUGCAGGCCCAGUAAUAGUGGUCAGGUCUUCACGUGAGGACAAUUUCUGCUGAGUUUGUUUGGUAGCAGAAUCAGUACUAGUAACAGACACGUGAGUAUUGUGGGGUAUUUUUGCUGUGCCUGUGUAAGCAGCAGUAGCAGUGACAGCACUUGCUUUGUUACUAAUUGUAGCACCAAACUGGGCUGCUUUCUGCAGCAAUGCAGUUGCAGAAAUGUGUACUGGAGAGACCACACCUGAUUCUCCCAUUGAAUCGUAACCUAAUGUAGGUCCUCUGAGAUUAGGGUUUGGGUUCUGAUGAUGAAGAUUUAAAUCUUUGUGGCUGCUUUGACUGUAUUGUUGAUCUAACCUAGUAGUAGCUGGAAAAAUUGACGAUGAGCUAAAAUUACUGAGCGGUACUGAAGGACUAGGAUUAAUAGCUCCAAGCUGAAAUGGUUGUGAAUUCGUGGUAAUUAGCCAUGGAGGAAUCUCAAUAUGUCUGAAAUCGCUACUUUGCUGCUCUUUUUUCAUGGGAAACGUAGCAGCUUGAAUCUGUUCAUGGCUAUUAAAGUAGUGAGGCUGUUGAAACUGGAGAUUCAUUUGAGGUGAGAAAAUUGUUGGAUUUCGUUCAUUUAUUACUGAUCUUGCGCUCUCCAUAGCUAAAGUCUCGCAGAAUGCUCUGUGUGUGAUGAAACUAUCUCGUCUUGAGAAAAUAGUACCACAUUCACAUUUGUAUUCUCUAGUACCACAAGUCUUGAAGUGAGCUUUGCAAUCAGAUUGAACAGCAUAACGCUUUGAACAUUUCUCA